This 292-nucleotide ribosomal RNA is filed under the name uncultured eukaryote. RNAcentral's name for it is "partial 18S ribosomal RNA". It matches the Rfam family "Eukaryotic small subunit ribosomal RNA", at positions 6 to 335 of the family's 1831-position model. The record is from RNAcentral.
GGUUGAUCCUGCCAGUAGUCAUAUGCUUGUCUAAAAGAUUAAGCCAUGCAUGUUCAAGUAUAAGCUUUUAUAUAGUGAAACUGCGAAAGGCUCAUUAAAUCAGUUAUAGUUUAUUUGAUAGUCAAUUACUAGAUGGAUAACCGUGGUAAUUCUAGAGCUAAUACAUGCAUCAGCAUCCUUUUGGAUGGUAUUUAUUAGGUAAAAGCCAACGAUUGGUGAUUCAUAAUAACUGACGGAUCCGUAUGGACAGAUCAUUCAAAUUUCUGCCCUAUCAACUGUCGAUGGUAGGAUA